CAACUCUCUGUCUCUCUCUUUGCUCUCUUUCUCAUAGCGCAGCUGUUUCUCUCUCUAGCUUCGUUAUGUCUCUUUCUCCCCUAUUCGAUCUCUUGCGCUCUGUUUGGAAUCGAGAACCCCUCCCUUUAGCUAUGUCUUCUGAAUAGCUGCUUGCAACCUUGAAGCUCUAGUGGAUUGCCGACCUCGAAAAGAAAUGGAGACAAUUGUUAUUCUCGUGUGCUACAAUGGAAAAUGGGUCACCUCGAAGAAGAUGUGCAAAUACGAAGGGGGUGACUCAAAAGGCUUAAUAGUUCCACGGACCAUCAAAUUUGCUGAACUGUUGGACCGUGUGCAUCAGAUUGGUAAUACAAACAGCAAUGAAGACAAGGUUUGCUUAAAAUUCUCAGUUUUGGUGGCCUCGAAUGAGUGGAAGCACAUAAAGAUUGAGGACGAUGAUGAUGUCAAUUUUUUUAUGAAGUACAAUUCCGAGGUAACACCUUCAAAACUAGCUCCCUUACUCGUGAGUAUAGAAGAUAAAUGACUGACAAAUGAUGUAGUUCAUAGUAUGCAUAUCACGACAGAUAGUAGUCAGAUGAGUCAUUCUUCAGUUGCCAUUGUUGAAAGCAAUGAAGUAACUUGGAAUAAUACAAAUGUCACUGAUGUGGGAGGUGAAGUAGGGACAGAUUUUAUAGAUAUGAUUGAUUUUAGCGAGGUGGAGGAGAUGCAUGGUGGUGAUAAUGGUACUGAAAGAAAUGAAGUGUCAGUGUACUCUGCCCCUCCUAAUUUGGGCUGCUUGAAAACAGCUAUCUAGUUGCCAAUAAUGCGUUUAGGAGGAGAAUCUGAACCCACUCGUCAACAUUAUUGGAGUCAAAUGGGUGAACAAAAUCGGUACAAUGCAGUCGGUGUAAAUGAUGAAGAAGCAUAUUUGGACAGCGGGUUUUCACGAAGUGAUUGGAAUCCGAAAAUUACAGUUGGGCAAAUUUUCUCUAGUAAGAAAGCAUUGUUGACGGAGUUACGGUUGACGGCAUUAAGAGGCCACUUUGAAUUUAAGGUGCAAUUCUCUUGUAAAAACAAUAUUCCAUUGCGCAAUGUAUCUUAGACAAUAUGAUUUGUGUUGCUUUGAUAGGUCAUGUAAACUCUACUUUUAUUUGUGGUGGGUUUCGUGUUAUGUUGAAUGGGAAUUCUUUUAAAUUUGCAUAA
Long non-coding RNA from Prunus persica (peach), 1179 nucleotides. RefSeq lists it as uncharacterized. The record is from RefSeq and is a predicted model, not a curated record. NCBI's taxonomy places the organism in Eukaryota, Viridiplantae, Streptophyta, Magnoliopsida, Rosales, Rosaceae. The transcript is spliced from 2 exons.